UGGGGAAUUUUGGACAAUGGGGGAAACCCUGAUCCAGCCAUCCCGCGUGUGCGAUGAAGGCCUUCGGGUUGUAAAGCACUUUUGGCAGGAAAGAAACGUCGCGGGUUAAUACCCCGCGAAACUGACGGUACCUGCAGAAUAAGCACCGGCUAACUACGUGCCAGCAGCCGCGGUAAUACGUAGGGUGCAAGCGUUAAUCGGAAUUACUGGGCGUAAAGCGUGCGCAGGCGGUUCGGAAAGAAAGAUGUGAAAUCCCAGAGCUUAACUUUGGAACUGCAUUUUUAACUACCGGGCUAGAGUGUGUCAGAGGGAGGUGGAAUUCCGCGUGUAGCAGUGAAAUGCGUAGAUAUGCGGAGGAACACCGAUGGCGAAGGCAGCCUCCUGGGAUAACACUGACGCUCAUGCACGAAAGCGUGGGGAGCAAACAGGAUUAGAUACCCUGGUAGUCCACGCCCUAAACGAUGUCAACUAGCUGUUGGGGGCCUUCGGGCCUUGGUAGCGCAGCUAACGCGUGAAGUUGACCGCCUGGGGAGUACGGUCGCAAG
This 545-nucleotide ribosomal RNA is filed under the name uncultured bacterium. RNAcentral's name for it is "partial 16S ribosomal RNA". It matches the Rfam family "Bacterial small subunit ribosomal RNA", at positions 355 to 892 of the family's 1533-position model. The record is from RNAcentral.